AUGUCUGACCACCAGUGCCUUGGUCUGUCGCUGUGUCCCGUGCUUACCGCAUGCCUCGCCGCUAUUACCGCGUCGAGCCUCUGCUGUCCUGGUCGAGUCUCCCGGGUAGCAAGCCCCCACUGCCUCAACCCCCACUGCAGAGAACCAUCGAUCAUCACCGACCGAUGCCGAGUAUCACGUCUCCAUCAGACCACUGGUACCCAGUCCGAUCCACGUGUCUCUCGCUAUCCCGCUGAAAUAGGCUUCGAUUCUCUGAUAUCUUACACCGUAGCCCCUCCAUCAGCACAGAGUGAAGUCUUCCGUCAAACUCCAGCUCCACCUUCAACAUGA
Molecule: ribosomal RNA, 330 nt
Filed under: Triticum aestivum (bread wheat)
Lineage: Eukaryota; Viridiplantae; Streptophyta; Magnoliopsida; Poales; Poaceae
Description: partial small subunit ribosomal RNA
Source: RNAcentral